AAUCAACGCUGGCGGCGUGCCUCAGACAUGCAAGUCGAACGAUUAAAGCUCUCUUCGGAGAGUGCAUAGAGUGGCGCACGGGUGAGUAACACGUAAGUAAUCUACCUUCGAGUGGGGAAUAACGUCCGGAAACGGACGCUAAUACCGCAUAAUGCAGCGGCAUCGCAAGAUGACAGUUGUUAAAGAUUUAUCGCUUGAAGAGGAGCUUGCGGCAGAUUAGCUAGUUGGUAAGGUAAUGGCUUACCAAGGCUACGAUCUGUAACCGGUCUAAGAGGACGGUCGGUCACACUGACACUGAAUAACGGGUCAGACUCCUACGGGAGGCAGCAGUCGGGAAUUUUGGGCAAUGGGCGAAAGCCUGACCCAGCAACGCCGCGUGAAGGAUGAAGUAUUUCGGUAUGUAAACUUCGAAGAAUAGGAAGAAUAAAUGACGGUACUAUUUAUAAGGU
RNAcentral lists this ribosomal RNA (449 nucleotides) under uncultured bacterium. RNAcentral's name for it is "bacterial SSU rRNA". It matches the Rfam family "Bacterial small subunit ribosomal RNA", at positions 32 to 492 of the family's 1533-position model. The record is from RNAcentral.